Pteropus vampyrus (large flying fox) is the source of this 135-nucleotide ribosomal RNA. NCBI's taxonomy places the organism in Eukaryota, Metazoa, Chordata, Mammalia, Chiroptera, Pteropodidae. The record is from Ensembl.
AUCUAUGGCCAUGCUUCCAUAAACAAGCCUGAUCCCGUCUGAUCUCAGAAGCUAAGCAGGGUUGGGCCUGGUUAGUACUUGGAUGGGAGACCACCUAGGAAGCCAGCUCUGAAAAGAACAUUGGUGCUGUAGGUG